CGAGGGCGAGGUCAUACAAAUUCGAUGUAUCCCGCAGCGGGGGUGUUAUCAACAUAUUUGUGUAAUAAUGAGUGGGCGUAUCAAAGGCGCGCGCCAAUGCGCAUGCUCAGUAGCAAUACACCUCAUGGUAAAAUGAAAGCAAUGGAGGACAGGAGGCUCAGAAAAAGGCUAUGAUAUCUGGAAGAGUAUAAUCUAGGUUAGGAACAGAGAUCCCGCGCUUGCUAACGGGCCCGUGUUUCGAUGACUUUACCUCCCCGGCCAUCUUAGUUAGCCAUUGAGGUUAAGACAACCAUUGAUUUGAACGCGGAAGGAGAGCAGUGAACUCUACCUGCGUGAAUUAUUGGUCUGUGCCUCGAUCUAAAGUCAUCUGGACUCUGGAGCCUCCCUAUUUUCCGGCUUUGUACCUGUCGGUCCCCGCUCCGAGCUCCCUGGCCAAUGCCCAUACUUCAUUGAGAGUUGAAUUGAAUUCCAGCUUAUUUAGCUGUCCAAUAUGUUGCUUUGUAUAUUUUAUUUUAUAAAAAAAUUUCUGUCAAAA
Amphimedon queenslandica is the source of this 535-nucleotide long non-coding RNA. RefSeq lists it as uncharacterized. The record is from RefSeq and is a predicted model, not a curated record. The transcript is spliced from 2 exons. Lineage: Eukaryota; Metazoa; Porifera; Demospongiae; Haplosclerida; Niphatidae.